CAUUAUCUGAUGUGUUUUGCAAAGUUUGUCCAUUACCAGAGACACUAGCAAGAAUUAGUUUUGCAAAGUUUGAGGUAUCCCAUGCCAGAGUUGUUAUGGAUUAGUUUUGUAAAGUUUGAGAUACUAGUUUGGUUGUGGUUGGUAGUCCCAGCAUCCCAGGGGGUAGAAUUAGCAACAGAUCUACAGCAGUUGGUCUUCCAUUUACUUUUUUUUCAUUUCAGGCGCGCACUUGUUAUCAACAUUAUAACACUUGGCUAAAAGACUAACUUUAAGCUUCCUGAUGACACAUUUAAAACCAAAAAAACUAUAAUAUUUGAAAUCCUGAACAAAAAUUAUUAAACUAUUACUAUUACAUUUUGUCUAAACCAAAAACAUUACUGAAGCCAAAACAUUACUGAGAGGCACAAGUUAAAACCAAAAAAAAACAUCUAUCUUUACUAUUACAUUCUUUUGGAGUUCCUGAACAAAAAUUCUUCCAUUAAGCUUUGAAAUCGACGAUAGCUUUGUCAAAUUUCAAAAGCUUCACCUCUGACCAAAAACCAAUUUGGGAUUUUGAGCUGAAUUUCACUGCAAAUAACAUGAACAGUAAUCAGUGCAAGUAACUUUGGAGCCUAAAAGUUAAAUGAUUACUGCAGCAUCAACAUCAUUUGUUAAAGGAUUUGGAUAUACCAAAAUGAGCCACAUUUGGAACUAAGUCAAUAAGGUAUAGAUGUUAGCAUUCACUUACAAUAACAACAGCCUCAAUCAUGGUAGAUUAAUGAGUAAUACACCCAGAUAAAUGCAAAAAUCAAUACCCGUAUAAUCCAUAUCAAAAAUCAACAGAAAUGAUGGUUGAUUUAUAUGCAAUUCAAUACCAUGAUUCAGAAUCCUAGAAAAAAGUGAAACACAAUCAGCCCAAUUUGACUAGUUAUGCUACUAUCAACAAAAUUAGUUCCUAUUCCUGAAUCAAGCUGCUAGCAUGUGAUGCAGAUGGUUUGUUCUACAUGUAUGAUGGAAAGCACUUAUUGGUUUAAAUGACAGUAAAUCACUUUGUCCCCAAGUCUGUGUCAAUGUUUCCAUGUUAGAGUGUAAGAUACUAAAAGAGCGGUAAUUGCCUUUAGAGUUGAGAGUGACAAAGCAGUUAGGAAAGACCAAGAAGGAAGGUGCAUCAAGCCAAUUUUACCAUUUCAGAUUCAUUUUACUCACAAUCCGAAUUCGACGAGAAAACUAGUGCACAUAACUUUGAGUAGGAACCAAAAAGAUCGACGUAGCAUCAAUUCUUAAUUUCUAGACAAGAAAACUAGUGCACAAAACUUUGAGUAGGAACCAAAAAGAUCGGCCUAGCAUCAAUUCUUAAUUUCCAUACGCAGUCCCAGUGGGAGACACUAUAUACAUUGAAUUACCAAGAAUGCAAUACAAACUCAAUUCAAACGUACUCUCUGUUUGACCAUAUACCCAAGAAAAAAGAAGCUUAUCUCAAAAUUCUAGUCCAAAUUCUAUCAUCCAAUGGCAAUCACUUCAAGAAAUUCCAAGACAAACAUUUCUUCACCACACCUUAGCGACAAGUCCUAUUUCCUUGGAUGAUGAAGAUUUGCUGCAUAUAAAAUUAAUAAAAUCGGCCCUCUUCAUAAUCAUACCAUAUUAAUAUUAUAACGAUCUAUAGUCAAGAUCAGAUGAUAAAUCAACCAUCAUUUAACUGCACGCCUAAGUACCUAACAAUAAUGGAAAAUUUGAAUUGCAUAUAAAUCAAAAAUCAACAGACCCAUAUCAAAAAUCAACAGAAAUCAAUAAGCAAGAAUUGACCAAUCAAUACCCGUAUAAUCCAAAUACUCAAAAACAGUUCUCAGUUCUCAGAAUUGACCCAUCAACCACAGCGAAACAUCACAGAAAAAUUAGAAGGAAAAAGACACAUACCAAAUACAGCCUAAAUCGCGAAUCUUAGAGAAGCUUCAGUUGAGAAGAGAGAUUCUUAGACAAGCUAGGGCACAACGAACUAUUAUGCGAUUCUCAGGGCUUGCAGAUUGCGUGAGAGGAGAGAAUCGCGACCCAUUUGGAGAGAAUCACUGAGAAUCGCGACCCAUUUGAAGAUUAGUGAGAAACUAGGGCUUGCAGAUUCGCGAGAGAGGGUAGGAGAGAAUGGCAAAGUUCAGAUUUGGGUUUUUUCAAAAAGACGCGGAAGGUUGGCUAAGUGUUGGCUUUUAAAUAGUUAUGUCACUUAAGAAAUUAUGGGAUGCUGCUACUGCAAUGGGGCUUCAUUUGUCUUUCCUUAUU
RNAcentral lists this long non-coding RNA (2250 nucleotides) under Panax ginseng (ginseng). Its description in RNAcentral is "long non-coding RNA (PGIN_LNC000779)". Lineage: Eukaryota; Viridiplantae; Streptophyta; Magnoliopsida; Apiales; Araliaceae. The record is from RNAcentral.